GUGGGGAAUUUUGGACAAUGGGGGCAACCCUGAUCCAGCAAUGCCGCGUGCAGGAAGAAGGCCUUCGGGUUGUAAACUGCUUUUGUACGGAACGAAAAGGCUCUGGUUAAUACCUGGGGCACAUGACGGUACCGUAAGAAUAAGCACCGGCUAACUACGUGCCAGCAGCCGCGGUAAUACGUAGGGUGCAAGCGUUAAUCGGAAUUACUGGGCGUAAAGCGUGCGCAGGCGGUGCUGUAAGACAGGCGUGAAAUCCCCGGGCUUAACCUGGGAAUGGCGCUUGUGACUGCAAGGCUGGAGUGCGGCAGAGGGGGAUGGAAUUCCGCGUGUAGCAGUGAAAUGCGUAGAUAUGCGGAGGAACACCGAUGGCGAAGGCAAUCCCCUGGGCCUGCACUGACGCUCAUGCACGAAAGCGUGGGGAGCAAACAGGAUUAGAAACCCCUGUAGUCC
Molecule: ribosomal RNA, 450 nt
Filed under: uncultured bacterium
Lineage: Bacteria
Description: partial 16S ribosomal RNA
Rfam family: Bacterial small subunit ribosomal RNA
Source: RNAcentral